Molecule: ribosomal RNA, 468 nt
Filed under: uncultured bacterium
Lineage: Bacteria
Description: partial 16S ribosomal RNA
Rfam family: Bacterial small subunit ribosomal RNA
Source: RNAcentral
GACGAACGCUGGCGGCGUGCUUAACACAUGCAAGUCGAACGGGAAGGCCCUGCUUUUGUGGGGUGCUCGAGUGGCGAACGGGCGAGUAACACGUGAGUAACCUGCCCUUGACUUUGGGAUAACUUCAGGAAACUGGGGCUAAUACCGGAUAGGAGCUCCUGCUGCAUGGUGGGGGUUGGAAAGUUUCGGCGGUUGGGGAUGGACUCGCGGCUUAUCAGCUUGUUGGUGGGGUAGUGGCUUACCAAGGCUUUGACGGGUAGCCGGCCUGAGAGGGUGACCGGCCACAUUGGGACUGAGAUACGGCCCAGACUCCUACGGGAGGCAGCAGUGGGGAAUAUUGCACAAUGGGCGGAAGCCUGAUGCAGCAACGCCGCGUGCGGGAUGACGGCCUUCGGGUUGUAAACCGCUUUCGCCUGUGACGAAGCGUGAGUGACGGUAAUGGGUAAAGAAGCACCGGCUAACUACGUG